Lytechinus pictus (painted urchin) is the source of this 5024-nucleotide long non-coding RNA. RefSeq lists it as uncharacterized. Lineage: Eukaryota; Metazoa; Echinodermata; Echinoidea; Temnopleuroida; Toxopneustidae. The record is from RefSeq and is a predicted model, not a curated record. The transcript is spliced from 4 exons.
UUGUCAUAAUUUAGUCCUGUUUUAUUUAUGAGACGUAGGCCUAAUAAACUACCCCGGAUAACUAUAUCGGCCUAUGAAACUAAUGACUACAUGUAUAAUAGCCUAUAUGAAUAUGUAUAGGCCUAUUUUCUCAUUAUUUGAGCCAUUCGCACGUUAGUAAUUUUACCGGAAUUCCAAUAUAGUACUCAGUCAAUUGAAUCAUGCGUAAGCGAGGCGCACGUGGGUACAAUAAACCAAUGUGUAACAGGUGGUGGAUGUGAGAGCCGGGGCUAGAUGAUAGUGGAAGAACUCCGGAAAGAACGCCGGACCGGACAUCUACUGGACUGGACAGUGAUGACAAAGAUCAAAUCAGAAAUUCAUCAGAAAGUCAUGAAAUGAGAGCAAUAUAGAACUUCAAGAGAAACAGAACGAGGUAUCAAUCAUUUAUAUGGCUGGAUCAUGAGAAGAAAAGCGGGAGAUUCAUCAAGCUCAUCCCCUGGAUUCAUCGGCGUGGAAAUUGACGCGACUCUGACAUGACACAAUACAGGUAACAUCACAACCCGGCUGUGACAAUCAGAUAGCUAGCAGUAUUGACAAACCUCAAGAGAUAAGUCUCGUACAUUAUUACCGUUCUGUCGAUAGUAAAUACUGAUAGCGGGCCCCUUGAAUGGUUCAUUAUGGCAGGCACUGAUGGUAUCAUGGUGCUGAUAAUGUAAUGAUCAUUGCUAAUUAAAUUGGAUGUCCCUGGCUCAGACAAGCCCUCUUUUUCUGCCUACAGACGCCCGCCGGUAUCUCCACCAUGAAUCUCUCCGUGAGAACGGCGAGAUAAAGCCUGCCGCAUGUCAUUAACGGCAUGCGAUGCGGAUCUAGAGGGAUUAAGCGGCACUGUUUCUGUCUUCCUCAGGAAGCGUCGAGUAUCACCUGGUAUGAUAAGAUUCACGGUCUGCGAUUCUAAUGAGAAGUGGGUGGCUUGUUUUGUACAUUAAUGGUUUCACAGGUGUGAGGCAUAUAUACACUUUAGAAAUCUUAGUUCACUUCUCAUCUAUGAUACACAUCUUCACCUAUGUUGUCACAGCACUGAUGCAUCUUAGCCAUCAUUUUGUCUCUCUCCUUUGAUGUGGAAAGACCGGAAUCAACAUCAUUCAAACAGCAGCUGCACCUCUUUAAUAAGGUGUGUUAACCUAAAACUUUCUGGAUUUGGAUGUUUCUGAGAAAGACAAACAGGGAAGACAUAGACUACUGCACUUUCUCUUCCAACUAGCACAGGGACGGCACAAAAUUUACAGAUCAAAGAUAAAAGCAUUUUGAAGGACUAUUAUGGUAUCAUGCUCGGUGUCCGUCCGUCUGUCUGUCCGUUGGUUAACUUUUCCUUGUAAACAGGUAAAUGCGAUAACUUCAGUUUAACUUCACCUAAGCUCAUAUAAUUUGGUGUGUAUGAUACUAGCAUAGAUCCCAGGAAGCCUAUAGAUUUUGAGUUCAAAAGGUUAAAGGUCAAGGUGACAGUGACAUGUUUUCAUCUUACCCUUCUGAAGAUACUAGCAUAGAUCCCAGGAAGCCUAUAGAGUUUGAGGUCAGAAGGUCAAAGGUGAAGUCGUCACCUUCCACUUUCUUGCUUCAUUGACCAAUUACUCCAUUUUCCGCGUUACAGGCGGGCUUAUUAUUUGCUUGCCUUAGCGACACUCUUGUUUUACAAAGCAGGUUAUGUACAUGUACAUAUCACUUUAUUCAAAAUGUAAAAUUUCAAUCUGAUUCAUAUUCUAAUUAUUAUCACUUUUUUUGCCUUUUCCCAUUUAAAGUUUUGCCUAAAAUGGCCCUUUGGAUCAGACAUCAGGGUAAAAGAACAUAUUUCUGCCACCUUGUUUUUUUAUAUGGGGUUGAAUUGAUUUGAUAAAUAAGGUUAUAAAAGUGAUCCUUUUUACCAAUGAAGACAACUAACAGUUAGGUCCUGCAUGAAUGAGAGAAAAGGGGGAAUCAAUAGAGUGGAAUGAAUGGAGUGAAAUUUAAAAAAGAAUGCAUGAAAUACUCUACUGAUGAAGAAGUCUGGAUUGAUAAAAGAAGAUCAACACAAUAUAGAGCUUGGUAGACCAUGUUUAGUCUAGGUUUGAUAAUGCUCAUGAUCUUCAUUAUAGAUCCAAAUACUAUGAAUGAAGUCUAGUAUAACUAUCAAUGCUCCUGUGCAGAUGGUAUCUAUGUUGGAUAUAGUGUUAUCACACUGUGCCAUGUUCAUAUGAUUAUAGAAAGAAAGGACUCAUUUUCCCUGCCAGGUCCACUGACUGACCAAAUCUGACGAUAUACAGAGGUGCUCAAAGGUUAGUGAACCCCACUCGAAAAAUGAACAUAUUUUAGAGUCUUCAAGUUCUGCCAUGUUUUAGAUAUUUAAUUGUGAUUUCCGGUGAUAAAAUAUUACAUUAAAUCAAUUUUGUUUCUAUGGGCUCACAGAACAUUGUUAAGAUGUUGUUCACACUCAGCAUGAAGUGCAUUUUGUGAACGGGGUCAGUAACUUUUGAGCACAACUGUAUAUGUUCUAAAAAGAGUAGAUAGUUGAUAUUUUGAUAAAAAUGAUUACAUUUCAGUAGUCAGCUUUUGCAAAAUGUAUCAUAUUUUGGAAUUUGAAUGGAAAUCGUAGGAAAAUGUGUAUGGUAUUCAUGCUUAUGUUAGAUUGAGGCAGUAAGAACAAAAACGUGAAUUAUUUGCUCAAUAUCGUCUAUUAUCAAUCUUUUUUUUUUGGGGGGGGGGGGUAUAAUUAUUACAGCAUUAGAAUUUUUCAAAAUUAGUAUGAAAAAAAACCCAUAAAGAUAUAUUAAUGAAAAAAGGACAAAAAAAAAAAAGUUAUAGUGAUUCUAAAAGUAAUGCAGAAAAAAAACUGACAUAAACAUCUUAACUCUACAACAAAAAGAGCGAGGAAUAGCCAAUCAACAAUGGUGUACGUUGCUAGGGGUGGAGCUUAGUAUGAGGCGAAAUUCAAUCAAGUCGAGCGUGCCAAGUAUCAGAUAUUUUCGAACUGACCAAAAAAAAAACACUCACAGAAAAACUUUUUUAUCACUUUCCUGUCAUCAAUUUCACUCAUUUUUUUCACAGAGUAAUUAUGAAAUGUGGAAGAAUCAGAAAUUAAAAAAAAAAAUCUUCAAUAUUUUGACUUUUUUAUUUGUUUGUCAAAUUCCGAGGAACUUUGAUUUGCGACUUGUCUCUCAUUUUGGUAUGAUCGAUCACAUAUACUCGUCUCUUGUCUUAUUAAUCAAGAGCAACAAGUAUGUACAUGUGGGAUCAAGUCCCAGCCUUGGCAUAAUUUCCUUCAAGAAAUUUGUCCACAUUGUUCUGCACUCAACCCAGGUGAGGUAAAUGGGUACCAGGCAAGACUUUAUUCCUCGAAAUGCUACCACGCUGUAAAAGGCUGCGGGGCUAAAACCAGGGUAAUAAUAUCCUAUUGAGUGCAUAGGGACACAUUUGGCAGUGAUAUGCACAAUAUAAUUAAUAUGUUGAUAAUAUUAUCAUUAUAAUUAAAUACAGGAUCAAUUCAGUCCCCCAAGCAAUGAUUAAAAAUGUCUCUGGUUUCAAAAGAGUGAUCUGUGAACCACGGGCUUCCAAAGCUUUCCAAAGCAUUCUUGAAAAUGAGAAAUUGUAACUUUUAGUUUUAGUGUUGACAGGCUGGUGGUGUGUGUGUGUGAUUAAAAGUUUUGUGUAGACAGAUGAUGUUGGUGUUUGGCCAAUUUUCACACUGAACAUGAAGUGAGGCUUGUUCUGGAAAUGACCUCAUAAGUAAAAUAUUUUACCAUGAAUAUAAUGAUAAAUGUAUAAAAGAAAAUAACAAAAAGUAUAUAUUUGAGCUAGGUUCAAAUUUGAAUUAACAUACAUAUUUAUUCAUUUCCAACAGAAAAAAUUGUAUGAAAUUAUCGGGCCCUAUAUUUUAUGUCAUAUUCAGUAGCAAAACUGACAGCAUAAUUAAGUUACAGAUAAACAAAGUUCUUUACAUACAAACAUUUAUUAUUGUUUUGUUUUAAAGACAAUACGUCAUUAUGCACAAUGUAAUGGUUCAAACUCUCAACACCAGCACCCACAAUUACACCAACACCAUCACAUUCAACUAUACCAACACCAACACCACCAGCAACAACCAAAUAACAUCGACACCAUAGUCCAAACAUGGACCUAUCUAUGAUACUUUAUCUGUUGCUCAUGCAUGCACAUGGCAAGCAGUACCUUCAACCUGUCAAGAGUUUAAAAAUGGCAAUAAAUAAAUCCUUUAAGUGGGCCAUUUGUCUUUGCAGUAUUUCCUGACAAUCUUUUUUUCCCCCUGAACAAUAAUUUAGAGAUGACAUAAGAGCAGCUAGCAUGAAAGUUCCUGUCAUAAAAUCUGUCUUUGCAUUCAUCUCUUUUAUGACUCUACUUGACCUAAUUACAUGAUAUAAUGGGGCUACUAAAGAACUCAAUGAUACUAUCCCUGUAUGGAGGGAAUAUUUUAUUAAGUUGGCAAAAAGUGGGUUAUGAGUUUUAUAUAAAUCCAUAUGUGAUAACAUGGCUCCACUUUGUGUCUUGUCAUAUAAUCCCUGCACUUUUUUUCUUUUCUAUUUAUGUGUUUGUGGCCUUUUUAUGCGACAUUUUAUUUUUGUCCAAAGCAAUGACUCACGUGUCUGCUGAAUGCUGAUCGAUGUACUGUUUAGUAUCUUCCAGCUGGACCGGGUGUUUCAUCAACAUUACUUUUGUCUGAAAGUUAUAAGAUUGUACAACUUUACUUGAUUUUUAUUGUCUGAGAAGCCCAUAGGACCAACUUUGUCCUGGCUUAACCCAAUCUGUUUCUUCAAACUGCUUGUAAAGUUGUGCAUAAAAUUAAGAAUAACUGGAACAUGAAGUAGCAAAAUAGCCUUCAUUGUUUUCAUACAAUUUUGACGAUGCAUUCAACAAAUUGCUCAAAAAUAUGAUUUCAUGCACAAAUCCAAUGCAAAUUCUAUUUUUGCAAAAAUUCAUAGUUAACAUUAUUUUACCUCUUCUGAUUAAAGUAUAUUGAUGUAAUCUUGUUUAGGAUUGUAAAUGUAUUGCUUACAAUUUCC